GGUGAUAUAGCUCAGCCGGUUAGAGCGGUGCACUCAUAAUGCACAGGUCGGUAGUUCGAGUCUACCUAUCACCA
Molecule: transfer RNA, 74 nt
Filed under: Anaerolineaceae bacterium
Lineage: Bacteria; Bacillati; Chloroflexota; Anaerolineae; Anaerolineales; Anaerolineaceae
Description: tRNA-Met
Rfam family: tRNA
About the family: Transfer RNA (tRNA) molecules are approximately 80 nucleotides in length. Their secondary structure includes four short double-helical elements and three loops (D, anti-codon, and T loops). Further hydrogen bonds mediate the characteristic L-shaped molecular structure. tRNAs have two regions of fundamental functional importance: the anti-codon, which is responsible for specific mRNA codon recognition, and the 3' end, to which the tRNAs corresponding amino acid is attached (by aminoacyl-tRNA synthetases). tRNAs cope with the degeneracy of the genetic code in two manners: having more than one tRNA (with a specific anti-codon) for a particular amino acid; and 'wobble' base-pairing, i.e. permitting non-standard base-pairing at the 3rd anti-codon position.
Source: RNAcentral